CAGUCGCCGCGGUAAGACGAACCGUGCGAACGUUAUUCGGAAUCACUGGGCUUAAAGCGCGUGUAGGCGGGCCGCCACGUCGGCUGCUGAAAUCCCUCGGCUCAACCGGGGAACGGGCACCGAUACGAGCGGUCUCGAGGGGGGUAGGGGGGUCUGGAACUUCCGGUGGAGCGGUGAAAUGCGUUGAGAUCGGAAGGAACGCCCGUGGCGAAAGCGAGGCCCUGGACCCUUUCUGACGCUGAGACGCGAAAGCCAGGGGAGCGAACGGGAUUAGAUACCCCCGUAGUCCCUGUCUCUUAUA
This 301-nucleotide ribosomal RNA is filed under the name uncultured bacterium. RNAcentral describes it as "partial 16S ribosomal RNA". It matches the Rfam family "Bacterial small subunit ribosomal RNA", at positions 509 to 807 of the family's 1533-position model. The record is from RNAcentral.